AUCCCUUUGUAGUUCAUAAGCGUGAUGAUUGGGUGUUUAUGCUCAUGCAUGAGCUGUGCCUCCCUCAAGCCUUGUGACAUCAUCAUAUUAGCUGUCUGAUG
Rhinopithecus roxellana (golden snub-nosed monkey) is the source of this 101-nucleotide small nucleolar RNA. RefSeq annotates it as small nucleolar RNA U13. The transcript has a single exon. Lineage: Eukaryota; Metazoa; Chordata; Mammalia; Primates; Cercopithecidae. The record is from RefSeq and is a predicted model, not a curated record.